UUCCAUGCACCAAUUAUACAACUACACUUUGCCAAACUUUUAAUUUUUUUUUUUUUUUCACACAAAUUGUACUUUAGUUAUAGAUAUACAGGUUCUGGUAUAUGUCACUGUCAAACAACACCC
Spea bombifrons (plains spadefoot toad) is the source of this 123-nucleotide long non-coding RNA. RefSeq lists it as uncharacterized. The transcript has 2 exons. Lineage: Eukaryota; Metazoa; Chordata; Amphibia; Anura; Pelobatidae. The record is from RefSeq and is a predicted model, not a curated record.